Long non-coding RNA from Erythranthe guttata (spotted monkey flower), 660 nucleotides. RefSeq lists it as uncharacterized. Lineage: Eukaryota; Viridiplantae; Streptophyta; Magnoliopsida; Lamiales; Phrymaceae. The record is from RefSeq and is a predicted model, not a curated record.
AAAAAAAUUCUCAAAAACUAAUUUAAUAAAUUUCCAAAAUUUUCCUACUAUACAGUAUACGCUACCAAAAUACUGAUCAGAAACAAGAAUAUAACAUACAAAAAAAAUCGGAAAAAAAUAAAAAAGAAAUUCCGACGAAAAACUUACAGCUCUUAGCAAAGAUCUCCUAUCCCUCUCCCGAGCAUUCUUGAUUGCCUAAAGCAGCAAACAAUUGCGAUAAAAAACCCCCCUGUUAUUUCCGAAUACGGCCUGAAUCUACCGCCGACUUCCUGCAAUCACACACACACACACAAAUCGGAGAAAUUAGAUAUACAGAAAUUACAGAGAGGCGAGGUUUUAGUGUGUGUUUUUCGGAAAGAGAGAAGGUGGUCGAAGACUCGAUCGGCAAAUGGAGGAGGAAAGCGAGACAAGUAAUGGCAUCGGCGGCCGGCGGGUGACGGAAUUUUUUUGCUGGGAUGGGUUUGCGAUGGCGGUGGCACAGUGGGCGAAUGUGUGAAGAAGACAAAAUAUUUUUUUAUUUUUUGUUUUCUUUGUUUUGUUUUUAUUUUCUAUUUUUUUUGUUUUUUUAAAGAAUAAUUUAUAUUUAAUAUUAAAGAUGUAAGUGAAUGGACGAAUAUACCCCUGCAAAUGUCACGUGCAAGGCACAUGUUUUAACUUUUC